CCCCGUAUAGCUCAAUGGAAAGAGCGGCCGACUUCUAAUCGGUAGGUUGUAGGUUCGAGUCCUACUGCGGGGA
Molecule: transfer RNA, 73 nt
Filed under: Methylacidiphilales bacterium
Lineage: Bacteria; Pseudomonadati; Verrucomicrobiota; Methylacidiphilae; Methylacidiphilales
Description: Candidatus Methylacidiphilales bacterium tRNA-Arg
Rfam family: tRNA
About the family: Transfer RNA (tRNA) molecules are approximately 80 nucleotides in length.
Source: RNAcentral